UCCAUCCGGAAGAAUGGCUUUGUAGACGUCUCCAAAACCGCCUUUCCCGAUCAACCACUGGGGGUCGAAGUUGUUUGUAGCUCUCCGAAUGUCUGCGAAUGCAAUCUUCAAGCCUAAGUUUAGGUUGCGUAGUGGCGAGUUAUGGACCGGAUCGAAAGGUCUAUUGGUGCGUAAUGGCGAAUUAUAGACCGGAUCGAAUAGUCUAUUGUCGGAGCUCCCACCUCUGUACAGUUCCACAGGAGACCAUAUAGUGGCCUCCUCCUCUGGCUUCUUCUUCUUCUUCGAUCUCCUCCGUUUCAAGAAAAAAAUGGUAAACAACAAACUCAAAACCAGGAUAGAAACAGCAGCAACACAACCAAUAAUGAUGUGAACCAGGGAACUACUUUUAUGAUGACGCUGUGGACGGCGAGCUUAAGGUCGCGGAGGUUGAGAGGUGCAUUGAGGCUGUCACGGAAGGACCCGCCGCGGAGGAUAUGAGGAGGAGAGCGACAGAGCUGAAGAAUGCAGCGAGAUCGGCGUUGGAGCCUGGUGGUUCGUCGGCUCGGAAUGUGGACUUGUUCAUCGCCCAUAUCACAACCACCUGACUAUGCUUCUGCUUUGAUUUACUCUUUUUUAAACCGGCGAUAACCGGUUUUUUGUUUCAGCAUUUGAACCCAAUGUUCAUUAAAAUGAGUAAUUGAAUUUUAAUAAAAGUAUUAUAUUUUUUAAGUUUUUCCAAUUAGUUUGUCUCAAACAAAAUUCAGCUCAUGAUUUUACAAAAGUUGAACCAAGCGGUUACUAAAAUAAGUAACUGGAAUAUUAAAAUAUAUUAUGAAGUUUUUCCAAUAAUAAAAGAAGUUGGAGAAGGUGACUUUAAUCAAAUGGUCUAAUGUUCACUUUUGCGAACUUCUUCAUCCAGUUCGAUUCGACAAAACAAGUUUUCUACAUUGUAAGAUCGACCUUUAUCAAUCUAAUUGGUGAAAAAAAAUAGUGACAAUAGCUAAUUCUGUUAAACAGUUCAUAUUAUUUUUGUUAAAUAGAGUUCAUGAAAUAUAAUAACUAAAAUCAUUACAUUUGUGAAAGAAAAAAAAGACUCCAAUCAUUACACAAAAAAAGUUUUGAAAAAUAUUUCAUUACUUUUUAAAUCUAUUAGUAUAAUUUUUUAUCAACUUUUAAAUCUAUAAAAUUCCAAACGGACCAAUUGGAUAUGAUGAUUUCCAUACCGGUUAACCAGUAUGGACACGGUAAGUUUGGGAAACCCGGUUAACGCAAAGCCUUUUUUUAUCUUGCUUCAGAGAUCUUCAACUGGGAGAAAACCCGAGUCUCGGAUGAAUCUCCAUCGCUGCUCUUCUUCUGAACAAACGAGUUGUCGCUAAACGAAUCACUCACCAUCAACCUCGGAACCACCAACGAGUUUCCACCUCCAACGCCAGAGAUCGUCAUGGUGCUAUCCUCGUGAGGCUCUCUCUGAACCGGCGUCAUGUGAAGCUGCAGAACAUACUCAAGAUCCCAGAUCACGUCCCCCAUGCUCGGCCUCUCUUCGCCGCAGUCCCUUAAACACUUCUCAACAAUCUCCAUGAACUUCCUCAAAGAACUCGCCUCGAUUUGACCAAUCAGUUUCGUAUCUAAAACCUCGUCGACUAUCCCUUUCGAUAAGCAGAACAACGCCCAUUCCGCGAGGUUCACUUCCUCGUGCGGAAGAUCGUGCGCGAGAGCAGGUCUCGCGCACAGAACCUCGAGGAGUACGACUCCGAACGCGUACACAUCCGAUUUCUCCGUGAAGAUGUGCGUCUGCAGAUACUCCGGGUCGAGGUAACCGAACGUCCCUUUGAUGUUCAUGCUGAUAUUGACCGGAUCUUGUUCGCGGACCGCGAGUUUCGAGAGCCCGAAAUCCGCAACUUUGGCCACGUUGUUCUCGUCUAGUAGUAUGUUUGUUGAUUUGACGUCUCUGUGGAUGAUUCCUUCCGAGCCGCUGUGGAGAUAAUGCAAUCCUCUGGCUGCUCCAAUGCAUAUCUCUAGCCUCUGUUUCCACGUCAACGAAGGCAUAUCCGAGCCGUAGAGAUGCUCUUUAAGCGUACCUUUCUCCAUAUACUCGUAGACAAGGAUCAUCUCCGCGUUUUCGUCGCAGUAGCCUUUUAAAGAAACGAGGUGUUUGUGCCGGAUUCUUGACAAGACUUGGAUCUCCGUUUGAAACUCUUGUAUCCCUUGUCCUGAACCGGUCUUUGCUCUCUUGAUAGCUGCCCUGCUUCCAUCCGGAAGAAUGGCUUUGUAGACGUCUCCAAAACCGCCUUUCCCGAUCAACCACUGGGGGUCGAAGUUGUUUGUAGCUCUCCGAAUGUCUGCGAAUGCAAUCUUCAAGCCUAAGUUUAGGUUGCGUAGUGGCGAGUUAUGGACCGGAUCGAAAGGUCUAUUGGUGCGUAAUGGCGAAUUAUAGACCGGAUCGAAUAGUCUAUUGUCGGAGCUCCCACCUCUGUACAGUUCCACAGGAGACCAUAUAGUGGCCUCCUCCUCUGGCUUCUUCUUCUUCUUC
Molecule: long non-coding RNA, 2509 nt
Filed under: Brassica napus (rape)
Lineage: Eukaryota; Viridiplantae; Streptophyta; Magnoliopsida; Brassicales; Brassicaceae
Description: long non-coding RNA (BNAP_LNC022143)
Source: RNAcentral